This is a transfer RNA of 72 nucleotides. It matches the Rfam family "tRNA". Rfam says of the family: Transfer RNA (tRNA) molecules are approximately 80 nucleotides in length. Their secondary structure includes four short double-helical elements and three loops (D, anti-codon, and T loops). The record is from Rfam.
ACUUCUAUAGCUUAACGGAAAAGCGUUCCGCUACGAACGGAUAGAUUGGGGGUUCGAAUCCCUCUAGAAGUU